RNAcentral lists this ribosomal RNA (405 nucleotides) under uncultured bacterium. Its description in RNAcentral is "bacterial SSU rRNA". It matches the Rfam family "Bacterial small subunit ribosomal RNA", at positions 355 to 776 of the family's 1533-position model. The record is from RNAcentral.
UGAGGAAUAUUGGGCAAUGGGCUAACGCCUGACCCAGCAACGCCGCGUGGAGGAUGAAGGUUUUUGGAUUGUAAACUCCUUUUGUGGGGGAAGAGUGAGGACGGUACCCCAAGAAUAAGUCACGGCUAACUACGUGCCAGCAGCCGCGGUAAUACGUAGGUGACGAGCGUUAUCCGGAAUUAUUGGGCGUAAAGCGCCCGCAGGCGGCUGUUCAAGUCUGACGUGAAAUCGCUCGGCUUAACUGGGCGGGGUCGUUGGAAACUGAAUAGCUUGAGGCAAGGAGAGGGGCGUGGAAUUCCCGGUGUAGUGGUGGAAUGCGUAGAUAUCGGGAGGAACAUCAGUGGCGCAAGCGGCGCCCUGGCCUUAGCCUGACGCUCAGGGGCGAAAGCGUGGGGAGCGAACGGG